RNAcentral lists this transfer RNA (74 nucleotides) under Thermoplasmata archaeon. Its description in RNAcentral is "tRNA-Arg". It matches the Rfam family "tRNA". From Rfam's summary of the family: Transfer RNA (tRNA) molecules are approximately 80 nucleotides in length. Their secondary structure includes four short double-helical elements and three loops (D, anti-codon, and T loops). The record is from RNAcentral. Lineage: Archaea; Methanobacteriati; Thermoplasmatota; Thermoplasmata. RNAcentral also lists the same sequence under 1 other name.
GCCCGAAUGGGGUAGCUUGGAUAUCCUUAUAGCUUGCGGAGCUAUGGACUCGGGUUCGAAUCCCGGUUCGGGCA